CAGCUGUUCCAGUUCCUGCAGGCCACCGCCCAGGAAGAAGGGAUCUUUGAGUGUGCAGACCCAAAGCUUGCCAUCAGUGCUAUCUGGACCUUCAGAGACCUAGGGGUUCUGCAGCAGACGCCGAGCCCUGCAGGCCCCAGGCUCCACCUGUCCCCUACUUUUGCCAGCCUGGACAAUCAGGAAAAACUAGAACAGUUCAUCCGGCAGUUCACUUGUA
This 217-nucleotide long non-coding RNA is filed under the name Homo sapiens (human). Its description in RNAcentral is "non-protein coding lnc-TRIM43B-7:1". Lineage: Eukaryota; Metazoa; Chordata; Mammalia; Primates; Hominidae. The record is from RNAcentral.